GGUCAACCGUGCAGGGUGUUUAGAGAGGGCAGGAAGGAAAGGCCUGGAGAUAGUCUUUGUCAAUUAAGAGAUCACUGAGGAGUGUGAAGGAAGUGGAUUGGCUGGGUUAAGUCACAGGGGCUGAGAGAUGAGUGGGUGGCGAGGACGGGAGGACAGGGCAUCGACUCUCCCUAGGACUGGCAGUAUGAAGGGAUAGAGGAGAGAGUUUGUCCAAGAUCUUGUGUCAAACAAGAUUCCUGUGGGAAGGCCCUGGGGCAGGAGACCCCAGUCUGAUCAAUGUCUUGAUCCAGCGCUACAGGACCUGGGAAGUUUUCAGGUGUCAGAAGCCAAGGAGGAACAUGAAAGCUCAAGUGCGCCCUGAACCACUCUCAACCCCCAAGUCAAGGAAUGCAAAAGGUGAGGAGUCGCCAUGGCAACAGCAGGGCCAGGUGUGGUGGUGAAUACUUAGCU
This 450-nucleotide long non-coding RNA is filed under the name Mustela putorius furo (domestic ferret). Its description in RNAcentral is "lncRNA (ENSMPUG00000029233.1)". The record is from RNAcentral. Lineage: Eukaryota; Metazoa; Chordata; Mammalia; Carnivora; Mustelidae.